This 87-nucleotide transfer RNA is filed under the name Pseudomonadota bacterium. RNAcentral's name for it is "tRNA-Leu". It matches the Rfam family "tRNA". Rfam says of the family: Transfer RNA (tRNA) molecules are approximately 80 nucleotides in length. Their secondary structure includes four short double-helical elements and three loops (D, anti-codon, and T loops). RNAcentral also lists the same sequence under 1 other name. Lineage: Bacteria; Pseudomonadati; Pseudomonadota. The record is from RNAcentral.
GCCGGAGUGGCGGAAUAAGGCAGACGCGCCUGACUCAAAAUCAGGUGGGGCUCAAACCCCGUGCCGGUUCGAGUCCGGCCUCCGGCA